RNAcentral lists this ribosomal RNA (593 nucleotides) under Paecilomyces sp. V384. RNAcentral describes it as "eukaryotic LSU rRNA". It matches the Rfam family "Eukaryotic large subunit ribosomal RNA", at positions 1 to 603 of the family's 3401-position model. Lineage: Eukaryota; Fungi; Ascomycota; Eurotiomycetes; Eurotiales; Thermoascaceae. The record is from RNAcentral.
CGGAUCAGGUAGGGAUACCCGCUGAACUUAAGCAUAUCAAUAAGCGGAGGAAAAGAAACCAACAGGGAUUGCCUUAGUAACGGCGAGUGAAGCGGCAAGAGCUCAAAUUUGAAAUCUGGCCUCUUUGGGGUCCGAGUUGUAAUUUGGAGAGGAUGCUUCGGGUUCAGCCCCCAUCUAAGUGCCCUGGAACGGGCCGUCAUAGAGGGUGAGAAUCCCGUCUGGGAUGGGUGGUUGUGCCCAUGUGAAGCUCCUUCGACGAGUCGAGUUGUUUGGGAAUGCAGCUCUAAAUGGGUGGUAAAUUUCAUCUAAAGCUAAAUAUUGGCCGGAGACCGAUAGCGCACAAGUAGAGUGAUCGAAAGAUGAAAAGCACUUUGAAAAGAGAGUGAAACAGCACGUGAAAUUGUUGAAAGGGAAGCGCUUGCAACCAGACUCGCCUAGGGAGGCUCCACCGGUACUUGUACCGGUUCACUCCUCCCCUGGCGGGCCAGCGUCGGUUUGGGCGGUUGGUUAAAGACUCCCGGAAUGUAUCGCCCUCCGGGGCGUCUUAUAGCCGGGAGUGCCAUGCAACCAGCCCAGACCGAGGAACGCGCUUC